This 565-nucleotide ribosomal RNA is filed under the name uncultured Bifidobacterium sp. Its description in RNAcentral is "bacterial SSU rRNA". It matches the Rfam family "Bacterial small subunit ribosomal RNA", at positions 146 to 711 of the family's 1533-position model. The record is from RNAcentral. Lineage: Bacteria; Bacillati; Actinomycetota; Actinomycetes; Bifidobacteriales; Bifidobacteriaceae.
UCUCCUGGAAAACGGGUGGUAAUGCCGGAUGUUCCACAUGAGCGCAUGCGAGUGUGGGAAAGGCUUUUUGCGGCAUGGGAUGGGGUCGCGUCCUAUCAGCUUGUUGGUGGGGUAACGGCCUACCAAGGCGUUGACGGGUAGCCGGCCUGAGAGGGUGACCGGCCACAUUGGGACUGAGAUACGGCCCAGACUCCUACGGGAGGCAGCAGUGGGGAAUAUUGCACAAUGGGCGCAAGCCUGAUGCAGCGACGCCGCGUGCGGGAUGGAGGCCUUCGGGUUGUAAACCGCUUUUGUUCAAGGGCAAGGCACGGUUUCGGCCGUGUUGAGUGGAUUGUUCGAAUAAGCACCGGCUAACUACGUGCCAGCAGCCGCGGUAAUACGUAGGGUGCAAGCGUUAUCCGGAUUUAUUGGGCGUAAAGGGCUCGUAGGCGGUUCGUCGCGUCCGGUGUGAAAGUCCAUCGCUUAACGGUGGAUCCGCGCCGGGUACGGGCGGGCUUGAGUGCGGUAGGGGAGACUGGAAUUCCCGGUGUAACGGUGGAAUGUGUAGAUAUCGGGAAGAACACCA